CCAGACUCUGAUCUGCUGUCUUGUCUCCGGUUAGAUAUCACUAAUUUGGAAGGCGAGAAUAGCGUUUAGUAUUAUUUCUCAAACGUACCAAGUUUAUAUUUUGUGCUCUUUUAUUGGAAAUUCUCAAUUCUCUUAAUCAGAUAGGUACUGUAGGUUUUGAACUCAAAUUUAUUUGGUUCCUUCAAGGUCUUACAAAGCUGGGCAGCAUCAAGGAGGAUCCCUCACCGAAAAGCGGGCAUGCAUGGAUUUGAAAUGAAGGUGUUGCAGGAUACGAAGGAUUCAGCGAAAAUAAAAUUCUCAACACAAACGUCACAUGAGUCACCAAGUGACCUGCAAAAUAAUGCACCUGAGGCUCUUGGGGUGGACUCUGGUUCAGUUUCUGUUUCAAGCAACAACAGCAGAAAAGUUACCCGUGAAGAUAUUGAAGUUGUCCAGAAUCUGAUUGAAAGAUGUCUUCAACUGUAUAUGAAUAGGAAUGAGGUGGUAAAUACCCUUUUGCAACAAGCCAGAAUUGAGCCUGGUUUUACAACCUUAGUAUGGCAGAAAUUGGAAGAAGAAAAUGCAGAUUUUUUUAAGGCCUACUACAUGAGGCUACUUCUGAAGAAACAAAUUAUUGUGUUCAAUCAAUUACUUGAGCAUCAGUACCAUCUGAUGAAGUCCCCUGCAUCUCCAAAGGUUCCGUUAGCUCCUAUCGAGAAUGGGAUUCAGCACUUGCCCGUUAACAAUCUACCUAUGGGAUACAACAUUCUGCAGCAGCCUUCAAUUCCAUCAACAGGUCAUCCCCACUUCAGUUCUGUGGGAAGUGUACCUAGCUGUCAUGUGGUAAAUGGAAUCCCUGCAUCAGACAAUUUCCAUCCAGUGCAAAUAAAUUCUGGGAAAGAGAUGGUGAUGAAUAGAAGCCCAGCUGACCCAAUACCUGCUGUCCCUGCUAUCAAGUCCGAGAUUGCUUUGAGUCCUACAUCAAUUACAUCCAAUGGUCAAUUUCCUUUCACACCAACAGAAAUACCAGAAUUGAGUGUUAAUGCUUCAGCACUUGACUCUGCGUAUGCAUCUCAUAUGACAAGUCCAGAGGGACUGCAGCUUGGACUUGAUUCUGGUACUGACAAUUCUGGGGAAACCCUCCAACCAUAUUGUCAAGUUCCCUGGAAUUUUAGCUUCUCAGACUUGGCAAAUGUGGCAGAUCAUGGACAGCUGGGAAACUAUUCAGGUUCUGAUAUAUUACUUGAUUCUCCAGAGCAAAGUGACAUCGUUGAGGAGUUCUUUCUUGAUAAUGUUCCUGCCCCAGGCAAUCAAAAAGAGGAAUGAUAGUUAAGAUGUUGCCCUUAUGAUUGCAAGUCCCAGUUAAAUUCAGUACUGCUAGUUCAAGCCACAGGUCCCGUUAGCCCUAUGGGUAGAUCAAUUGUCAAUGGUCAUUCAGCUGUACAGUAGCAUCUUACUGAUGUAAAUUUGAAACCUUAAAAAUUAGGCAGGCAGGAAUUAGUUUAUUGUCAUAAUUGCUAAACUUUACUGACUACAGAAUAUUGCAGGUACGGUUUCUUGUUUUGGUCAAUUUGGAUAAUGUACAUACAACUUUGAACUCCCAACUUUUUUAAUUCGAAAGUUAUUAAAUAAG
RNAcentral lists this unclassified non-coding RNA (1612 nucleotides) under Hevea brasiliensis (rubber tree). The record is from RNAcentral. Lineage: Eukaryota; Viridiplantae; Streptophyta; Magnoliopsida; Malpighiales; Euphorbiaceae.